GACGAACGCUGGCGGCGUGCCUAACACAUGCAAGUCGAACGGAAAGGCCCGGUUUUCAGGCUCCCCGAGUGGUGAACGGGGGAGUAAUUCGCGGGUGAUCUGCCUUGCUCUUCGGGAUAAGCCUGGGUAACGGGGUCUAAUACCGGACAUGACCUUCCUUGUAGUGUGGGGGGUGGGAAGUGUUGUCGGUGUGGGAUGAGCCGGCGGCCUAUCAGCUUGUUGGUGGGGUAAUGGUCUACCAAGGCGUCGACGGGUAGCCGGCCUGAGAGGGUGGACGGCCACAUUGGGACUGAGAUACGGCCCGGACGCCUACGGGAGGCAGGGGUGGGGAAUAGUGCACAAGAGGCGGAAGCCUUGUGCAACGACGCCGCGUGGGGGAUGACGGCCUUCGGGUAGGAAAGCUCUUUCGACUGGGACGAAGCUUCAGUGACGGUACCUGUAUAAGAAGCACCGGCUAACUACGUG
This 465-nucleotide ribosomal RNA is filed under the name uncultured bacterium. RNAcentral's name for it is "partial 16S ribosomal RNA". It matches the Rfam family "Bacterial small subunit ribosomal RNA", at positions 28 to 507 of the family's 1533-position model. The record is from RNAcentral.